RNAcentral lists this ribosomal RNA (434 nucleotides) under uncultured bacterium. Its description in RNAcentral is "bacterial SSU rRNA". It matches the Rfam family "Bacterial small subunit ribosomal RNA", at positions 28 to 478 of the family's 1533-position model. The record is from RNAcentral.
GAUGAACGCUGGCGGCGUGCCUAACACAUGCAAGUCGAACGAUGAAACCGCCCUCGGGCGGACAUGAAGUGGCGAACGGGUGAGUAACACGUGACCAACCUGCCCCUUGCUCCGGGACAACCUUGGGAAACCGAGGCUAAUACCGGAUACUCCUCGCCCCCCUCCUGGGGGGCCCGGGAAAGCCCAGACGGCAAGGGAUGGGGUCGCGGCCCAUUGGGUAGUAGGCGGGGUAACGGCCCACCUAGCCCGCGAUGGGUAGCCGGGUUGAGAGACCGACCGGCCACAUUGGGACUGAGAUACGGCCCAGACUCCUACGGGAGGCAGCAGUGGGGAAUUUUGCGCAAUGGGGGCAACCCUGACGCAGCAACGCCGCGUGCGGGACGACGGCCUUCGGGUUGUAAACCGCUUUCAGCAGGGAAGAAAUUCGACGGUAC